RNAcentral lists this ribosomal RNA (570 nucleotides) under uncultured bacterium. Its description in RNAcentral is "partial 16S ribosomal RNA". It matches the Rfam family "Bacterial small subunit ribosomal RNA", at positions 355 to 918 of the family's 1533-position model. The record is from RNAcentral.
UGGGGAAUUUUGGACAAUGGGCGAAAGCCUGAUCCAGCAAUGCCGCGUGUGUGAAGAAGGCCUUCGGGUUGUAAAGCACUUUUGUCCGGAAAGAAAUCCUUGGCUCUAAUACAGUCGGGGGAUGACGGUACCGGAAGAAUAAGCACCGGCUAACUACGUGCCAGCAGCCGCGGUAAUACGUAGGGUGCAAGCGUUAAUCGGAAUUACUGGGCGUAAAGCGUGCGCAGGCGGUUUGCUAAGACCGAUGUGAAAUCCCCGGGCUCAACCUGGGAACUGCAUUGGUGACUGGCAGGCUAGAGUAUGGCAGAGGGGGGUAGAAUUCCACGUGUAGCAGUGAAAUGCGUAGAGAUGUGGAGGAAUACCGAUGGCGAAGGCAGCCCCCUGGGCCAAUACUGACGCUCAUGCACGAAAGCGUGGGGAGCAAACAGGAUUAGAUACCCUGGUAGUCCACGCCCUAAACGAUGUCAACUAGUUGUUGGGGAUUCAUUUCCUUAGUAACGUAGCUAACGCGUGAAGUUGACCGCCUGGGGAGUACGGUCGCAAGAUUAAAACUUAAAUGAAUUGACGGGG